UACGUAGGGGGCAAGCGUUGUCCGGAUUUAUUGGGCGUAAAGGGCUCGUAGGCGGUUUGUUGCGUCGGGAGUGAAAACUUACAGCUUAACUGUGAGCGUGCUUCCGAUACGGGCAGACUUGAGGUAUUCAGGGGAGAACGGAAUUCCUGGUGUAGCGGUGAAAUGCGCAGAUAUCAGGAGGAACACCGGUGGCGAAGGCGGUUCUCUGGGAAUAUCCUGACGCUGAGGAGCGAAAGUGUGGGGAGCGAACAGG
RNAcentral lists this ribosomal RNA (253 nucleotides) under uncultured bacterium. RNAcentral's name for it is "partial 16S ribosomal RNA". It matches the Rfam family "Bacterial small subunit ribosomal RNA", at positions 524 to 776 of the family's 1533-position model. The record is from RNAcentral.